UUAAGUCGUACAAGGUAACCGUACCGGAAGGUGCGGCUGGAUCACCUCCUUUCUAAGGAGCACCACGAAAAACACCCCAACUGGUGGGGUGUAAGCCGUGCGGGGUUCUCGUCUGUAGUGGACGGGGGCCGGGUGCGCAACAGCGGAUAAAUCGCCAGACACACUAUUGGGCCCUGAGGCAACACCCGGCUUGUCUGUGGAUGUUGUCCCACCAUCUUGGUGGUGGGGUGUGGUGUUUGAGAAUUGGAUAGUGGUUGCGAGCAUCAAAUGGAUGCGCUGCCCGUAACGGUGGCGUGUUCUUUUGUGCAAUUUUAUUCUUUGGUUUUUGUAGUGUUUGUAAGUGUCUAAGGGCGCAUGGUGGAU
RNAcentral lists this unclassified non-coding RNA (363 nucleotides) under Mycobacterium sp. FI-06081. RNAcentral's name for it is "partial contains 16S ribosomal RNA, 16S-23S ribosomal RNA intergenic spacer, and 23S ribosomal RNA". Lineage: Bacteria; Bacillati; Actinomycetota; Actinomycetes; Mycobacteriales; Mycobacteriaceae. The record is from RNAcentral.